This is a non-coding RNA of Jatropha curcas, 3041 nucleotides long. NCBI's taxonomy places the organism in Eukaryota, Viridiplantae, Streptophyta, Magnoliopsida, Malpighiales, Euphorbiaceae. The record is from RefSeq and is a predicted model, not a curated record.
CUUUUUCCUUCUUCUUCCUCGCGCGCGACAGCACCCUCUCCCUUUGCUCUCUACGAUCUCCAGCCACCGAUCACAGUCUCCAGCGAUCUGACCUUCUUUCUUCAUCUUCUCGACGAGAGGAGUUCGUUGGUGGUGUUGUUUUGCAGAAAAGAGGCCAGAAUCGCGAAGAACGCGACUGGGGCCGAGUGUCGCGCAGUACUGGCGAUCCACGCCGUUUGCGGUGGCUACAACUUGAAGAAGCAGUGUCGAUCGUCUCACCUCCUCCAUGUGAGCCUUUUGCCGCCGUUGAAUCAAGCGUCUGAUGGAAAAUGGUGAAGCCACCAUUAAUGGCGGCACCAAACUGCUGUCGAACCCGAUCCGGCCAAUCAAGAACCGAUCUCACUAAAUUAACGCCAAAAAUGGACUCCUUGGUGAAUUUUGAGUUGAAUGAUGUGAUUGUUGCAAAUUUUCUGGGAAAGGAUGAUUUUCCGGCCACCGUGCACGGCGGUCGGCGGCAGCAGUUCGGUGACCGGCCGGCGACACUCCGGCGAGGACCCGAGAGACAGAAUGCUCUUCUCUUCGCGCUGAUCGUGGAAUCGUCGCCCGAUUCUCAACUGGUCAGAUCCAACAACUUUCAAAUUCACCAAAUUCCAGCAACUGCGAAAGAGUAAGUUCUCAAGGAGAUUACAAUUCACCAAGAAGUUACAAACUACGGCAUCAGUGAGAUCCACACUGUCCAUUGAGAGGCUAAUGAGAGAUCUCAAACUUUCAAAACCUGGAGAAAGCACAAUGAAUGCACUUAAAGCCAGAUGUUUCACAGACUACACAUUGGCCUCUGUAAGUUUUGAGGAUGGAAAAGUGUGGAGGUCAUACGACACAUUAUAUUCUCGAAGACCAUCAGAAAAGUCAAGCUCAAGGAUCUUAACUCUUCUUUCCAAAGCAAAAGAAAUCCACCAAUCAAUGUCACAAGUCGCCUCUUUAUUCAAAUAGCAACAAAUUCGAAAUUGAUUAAUGUCUGAACCGUACUUAUGUCGCCUCAAGACUCUAUCCACCCAGUUUACAAAUUCAGGAAUCUUCUUGCGGAGUUUACUUACCAUGUAUUGCGUAAAACUAUCAUAUCCACGCUUAUUUUUAUGUCAAAGUUACAGAAUUGUGUACAAGUUCCUCCACCUUCUUGAAACAAGAGCGGCCAUAGCUGCAUCUUUCAUUGUCAAGGAAGAUAGGAUGCAGAGAAGAAUAUCAUUCGGCAACUCAUCCACGCGGCACAUCUUGAGGUCAUUUUGCUAGUUUGUUUAGAACAAUGAAAGAAGAAUAUUAGUACAAUUAGCAGAUUCCCAUGGAAUGUUGGAACGGUAUAGAUUUCAACCAAUUACUCAGCAAUAUCAUUUAAGUUUUUUUCCCACAGAAAAACAUAACAAUAGCAUAACGAAGCGUUCUCCUUUCUUUCCUGUAUUUUCAAUGUACACUACCUUUUUGAUAAAGAAUGAUAUCCUGAACCUUGAUAGAUACAAACGGAAAUUGGAGACCCCAAAAGCCAACCUCGAGGUUACAGGCUCGAAUUCGUUCUUGCAGUAUUUCAUAUUUGUAAAUUUAGACUCAAAUCUCCUCCGAAGUCAGAUUGAAUCUCCUUCGAGUCCUUGCUUGGAAUCAGUUGGAACUAGGAAUCAAAAAAUAAAAAAAAUAAAAAAAGCUUGAUCAUCAUAAAUCAGAACCUGGUGUAUAAUUGGGGUUAUCACAAAAAUAAAUGCCCACUUAUUGACAUGCCAAAUUUAUCUAUGUACACAGUAUACAAACACUAACUGUUCUUAAAGAAGAUUCUUUUCUCCAGAAAAUUUAACCCACAAAACCAAUGAGCAAAAAAAAGACAUAAUGAACAAGGUAGAACACGAACUUGUAUGAGCAGAUGAUCCGCACAACAGCAGAGACGCCAAUAUGCAGUACUAGUAAGCAGUGACCCUAUUUAUGGGCUAAGCCUAUAAACAAUAUAGGGAAACUAAUCAAUAUACCACCUUCAUAAUUGAAAAAAUCCUAAAUUGGUAUUGUUAAUAUAAAUUAAAGAUACUAAGAGAUAUGCUAGUUUAAAAUUUUAUAUAAGGAAAUUAUACAAUUAGCCGCUUAAGUCUCAGUUUCCUUACAACCGUCCCAACCCCAAUCACAGUUAGUUACCAUAUUUCUUGAAUCCGGUACACAGGAGCAGCAAUGGCGAUAUUCUUUUAUCACAAUUACCAUAUUUCCCUUCUUGCAGGAUAAUGAUCCAUAGCUCGAAUCGUGCUGUAUCGGAUCAAUAAAUUAAUAGAGUGGGCCACAUAGUUUGUUAAAGACAUAAAAUAACGAAGUUAACAAUAGGGACAUUCUAGUAAAAACGUAGUUUUCCUUCUAUGUGAGCUCCUGAGGAAGUCGCAUCUCCACUUUCUGGUCUCACUUCCACCGCACCUCUUUCUGAUUGCAGUGAUUCCGACGGUACCGCCGUUAGAUAAUGUCGUUUUCUAUGAGUUACAUAUCGCAUGGCAGGCCAUCUUUGAUUUCUAGUCCUGCUGAAGGUUGACGGCGGUUUAUGGAAGGAGAAGACGCAAGGGUUUAUGAAAUACAAACUUGAAAUACUGCAGUUUGAGGUUUCCUCAAAUUGUCUGUUUUGAAACCCCAGAUUAACGAAUUUAUAACAAGUUCAUAAUUAAUUUACAGAACCAACAACGAUGCAGGAGAGUUCUUGAUAGAUGUAUAGAAGAUGAUAGGGACAGGGGUACCCAAAGCUAAAAAAAAUCUAAAAAGCCCAAUUAUUUUUUGUCUAGAUGUUGGUGCAAUUAGUGGUCCCGUAAGACUUUUUUAUUCAUCCGAUCCCAGCACGAUUCGUGCCAUGUAUCACAGUAUCAGUGCCCUUGAAGCGAAUCCGGUAAAAAGGAGCAGCAAUGGCGAUAUUUUUUAUCGGUAAAUUGGGUUAUAGACGGAAGAGUUUUAAAAGAAUUGUAGCUCAUGGGCCAAGGCCCGCCCAAGCAAUCAUUCCAAAACAUAUAGUACUGUCCAUUUUAAUACAUUAACAUCAAUAAUACUUAAUGGUUCCAUUU